Long non-coding RNA from Corapipo altera (White-ruffed manakin), 2057 nucleotides. RefSeq lists it as uncharacterized. The record is from RefSeq and is a predicted model, not a curated record. The transcript has 6 exons. Lineage: Eukaryota; Metazoa; Chordata; Aves; Passeriformes; Pipridae.
GCUGACCCAGAGUCCAGCAUGGAAAGACAUUUUCCCUCCCUAAAUGCUUCUCCACUUCCCUGCUGAGGGUGACCUGGCUGGAAUGUUGAGCUGCAGAGCCCAGGUAGGGUUGGGUCUGACCCCUGUGACUGCGGGAGCAGUGCCAGUCUGGGUGCCCACACCCUGCAGGCCUCAAACAGGGGAGGGAAACUGAGCAGAACCUUCCUGAGCUGCAGCUUUCCUGCCCCAUGUCCUGCUGGGCCCCGACUGCAACUGUGCCCUGGAAAUGCAAAAGUGAACGUGUAUUUUUGAAGGGGAGAAGAGAAAAUGUCUUCUCUGUUUCUUGGUUACCACUGUGGAUUUUUAAUCUGUAAUAACUGUGUUUUGUGUGCGUUGCUUUCAGGAAAAUACAUUUGUUGCCAUGGCAACGGGAGUAGCUUUUCCCCCAGAUCCCAGUGCUCGGAUAGUCGAGGGCAACAGUGGAAUCCCAGAGCUUGCAGGAGCAGCAGGAUUGCCUGGAGCUCCCUUGGACUGGGGGUUUGGGUGUGGGGGUGACACUGGGGGGCUCAGCUCUGUGUGUGUGAGCACUAACAACCCUCCUGUGCUUCCAGUGCUGGGCAGACAUGGACCUGCAACGUGGAGCUGGAACAGCUGGAGAUGAACAGUCACACACCAUCUGCUCACUGACAGGCAACGAGAGGUUUGCUGUUCUCUCCAUGGGGAAAAAACUCUCCAGCCAGUGGUGGAUGAAGUGAUGGAUGGUGGCCUCAGCCACCCGAGAGCUCUGCCAGCCGUGGGCUGUGGGGUUGGUGGUUGCUGAGGUAAAAGCAGCAGGACUUUCCCAACGCCAGGAGUUCCAGGUCAGAGCUGUCAGGAGGAGGAGCCCACUGCGGGAUUUUCAUGGAUGGUGUCUCCAGGGCUGUCACAGCAGGCAGAGGUGGCUCAGGCUGAGCCUCAAGCCCAGAUGGUCACGGGCAAAUGUUGGCUGAGCACUGGCAGAGUGGAGCCCUCCUGGGAAUGGCAGCUGGGGGAGGCAGGAAUGGGAGCUGUGUCUCAGCCUGAGGCACAAUCCCCUGGCUGGGAUGGACCCAGGGAAACCAGCUCCAACAGCACCUGACUGCGAGCCUCGGACUGCCCGUGGGAGCUGCAAUCCAGAGGGAAAGGGGAGCAGGAUGCUUUGUCACAAGCCUUGGAAGGAUGAACCUGGACCAGGAGCUUUGGAUGGUUUGGGAAGGAAAAAAAGAACAACGUAAGAAUAUUCCUGACAGAAACUGGCUCAAGAGGUCCUUGUCAGGGCUUUGGCCACCCCCAAACCCCACAGGACUGCUCGUGGGUUCCCUUGGCAACAGCGAAGCCAACACGGGGAUAACAGCCUGGGAACACAAAGGCAGCACUGACACCCUUCCCCUCAGCAGCCAAGGACGAGAGCUGGUGACAGUGACCUUGGGACAGGCCGGCUCGAUGGGAAGGUGUCCCCAGCCAACCUUUCAAGGCCCAGGCACAGGCUGGAUCCCAGAUCCUACAACACCUCAGAGCAAGGGCUCUUCGUCAUCUUUAAUCCACGAGGCACAUCAGCACUUUGGUUUGUGAUUUCCCAGUGGGAAUGAAAGCUGGACACACAUGGGAAGCACACCUAUGACUUUACUACGGCUGCUGCCACGGGACAGAAACAGGGAGCUGGUGGAUAAGAGCCUGGAUUUUAAAUCAUGGAAUCACAGACUGGCUUGGGCUGGAAGGAGCUUAAAGCUCAUCUCAUCCCACCCACUGCCAUGGGCAGGGACACCUUCCACUGGCCCAGGUUGCUCCAACCCCCAUCCAACCUGGAUUCUAUGAGGAUUGGCCAUCAUUCCCUGCCCUUUGGCAGGGGGUUGUAACUGGUUGAGCUUUAAGGUCCCUUCCAGCCCAGACCUUCUGGGAUUCCAUGGUUUUAAUUCCACCUCUGAAGAUGUGCCCCUCUCGGAGAGACUCUUCUGUUACUUUUCUCCUCUUGGAAGGUAAACAGCAUUUCAUCACCCGAUUAAUAAACCCACGGACAAACCAACGUUAUUGCAACAAAAAUAAAUAAAAAUUUAACUGAA